UUUGGGAAUGUGCCCUGACUGGAAUUUAACUCUACUGGAGAGAGAGAAAACAUAAAGAGUACCUACAUCAACACAGCGGCCAGAAGAGGGCAUCAGACCCCCUUGGAGACAGAGCUAUAGACAGUGUGAGCUGUCGUACAGACAAGUGUCUCCCAACUUCAGGUAAGGUACACCUCCUUGUGAUUGAAGCUGGUGCAGCAGCCAUGAUCCCGGUGACCACAAGGGGGCGGCCGAGACUACGCUACACACGUGGAGAUCCUGGCUGAUGCCCUAUGUUCUGGGCAGGAAAUAAGACUGCCUGCUGAGGAGGAGACCUUCUCUGAGAUGCUGAGCAAAACUUCUGACUGUGUGUCACUGAUGACCAGAAGUCAAGAGUUCUGCUAAGAGGACCAUGCCCCUUUGCUGUUGAUGCACCCUGCUCCCUGUGUGUGCCUGGCCCCUCUCACAGUGCCCUUCCACCUGUCAACACAAAGGUGAGCGAGCCCUCGCCUGGCUCUGUCCAGGACAGAACUUCCCCAAAAGGGUUAAUACCAGAAAAACCACCCAAGACAGCUCUCCAGUUUCUAGCACCUUCCCUGCGAAACUGGAGGAGCCUGGCAAAGCCACAGGUCCUUUCAGCCAGAGCCAGAGUUCUGCAGUUCCCAGAGGGGGCUCUUGAGCUCCAGGGGACAGUUAUGGUGACCUUAAAAGGAACAGAAGCAAGCGUCUCAUAGCCUGUGCGGAAGAGGCCUGUGACACAGAUGAGCAAAGACAAAGUGAUGCAGGGUGCUCGCUCGCUCUUGGGUGCUCGCUCUUGGAAGCACUGGUUCCUAAGUUUGGAGGAACUAAGUUUGGUUCCUAGACCCCUUCAAGAAGUGCAAGAAAAAGCCAGAAAAUAGCAGACGCACCCACGGGUGUGCACUUCUGAUGCCCCCAACUUCUGUUAGCUUGGCUAUGGCGUCCUGCCCAGAUUAGCAAACUGUGCUUUGGGCACGGAUUCCAGAGAUUGGUCCUGUAGCAACACCCACACACUCAGCAUCCCUGUUGGAGCCCUGCGUGUCAGUGGAAGAAUUUGGGAACAACCUAAAUGUCAAUCAGCUGGACAGUAAUGAAAUUGGGUGUGAUAUUUAAACUAUAAAUGCUCAGCCCAGCCCUUGGGAAGAGCACAGAAACUCUCAGACAUAGCGACACAUGGUUGUAAUUCCAGCACUUGGGAAAUUAGGCCAAAGGAUUGCCAUGAAUUCUAGGCCAGUCUGGAUUAUAUAAUUGAGACCUUGUCUCAAAAUAAUAAUAACAACAACAUUAAUAAUUGGGGCUAAAGUUUAAAUUGAGGGCCAGGCAGUGGUGACACACGCCUUUAAUCCCAGCACUUGGGAGGCAGAGGCAGGUGGAUCUCUGUGAGUUUGAGGCCAGCCUGGUCUACAGAGCGAGCUCCAGGAUAGGCUCAUAAGCUACAGAGAAACCCUGUCUAGAAAAAAAAAAUUAAUUGUAAAAAAAUGAAUAAAUGUUAAAAGUUAAAAAAAAUAAAUGAAUGAAACUGCUUUGCCACCAUUAGGGCACAGUAUGCCAAUGAAUGCAAAUGGAUUCAAUUCAGAACAGGAGCGCUGGGGAGCUGGGUUGUGGGUCUGCGGGACAUGCAUACUGAGCAUGCGUGAGGUCCUGGUCUGAUGCCUACCACCACACGGACACACAAGGAAGCCUUGAGGUGACAUACAGAGACCUGCCUACAAGUGGGAUCUAUGGACCCGGAAGCAGGGAAAGAGCUACUGUCUAGGGUGUGUGAGCCCAGACCCCGUUAGGAGAUUUGACACACACAGAGGGACCUUGGCACAGGCAGCAUGGAUGGCCAGCAUGGCCACCUCCUUCCAGGAGUCUAUGAAUAUCCCAGGACAGUGUCCAAACAGGGCAGACUUUGAAUUGGAAGGAAACAGAAGCCUCUCUGUCUUUGCUGGACUCCUGAGUUCAGUUGUGGUUAUACUAAACAGAGCAAGAGCCUGGAGCCCAGGAUGGUAAUUCUCAGCCCACGCUUCCCUUUGGAGAUUUUACACGUGAUUUUUUUAAAUUUAUUUUUAUUUUAUGUGCAUUGGUGCUUUGCCUGCAUGUAUGCCUAUGUGAGGGUGUCUGGAGUUACAGACAUUGUGAGCUGUUAUGUAGAUGCUGGGAGUUGAACCCGGAUCUCUGGAAGAGCAAUUAGCCCUCACAGGGCAGUUCACAACCUUCUGUAACUCCAGUUCCAGAGAAGGAGAUCAGUGUCCUCUUCUAGACUCCAUGGCAACUGGGAACAAGGGCUCCACAGACAUACAUGUAGGCAAAACACCCAGGCAUAUAAGCUUUUAGGGGAAAAUAACUAACUCUUAAUUUGAUUAAAAUAUAUGCAAAUAAGAAUGCAGAUACACAACAAAGCUUUUACACAGCAAGUGUAGCUUCAGAGGUCAAAUUCCCAGACUGUCUAGGAAGAGCCCCAGCGACAGCUCCCGGGGCAAGUAUGGCAUUCACAAGUAGCUUGUUCUGUUUUCCUCUCCACUGACCUGCUCUGAGCCUCCCUGGGAACCUCUUUCUCUUUUAAGCAUUAUCCUCCUCUAGGAGUAGUAAAUGAUUAUGUGGUCAUUGACCUAUUCCUGUUACCACAAUGUAAUCCUGCCUUGUUUUUUGAGACAGAGUCUCUCACCAGGACCUGGAGCUCACUGAUUUAUCUAGGCUGGCUGGGAUUCUCCUGUCUCAGCCUCCCCACCACUGGGAUCACAAUUUGCCAUACCUGGCUUUUUUGUUUUGUUUGUUUGGUUGGUUUUUUGUUUGUUUGUUUGUUUGUUUUUCCGAGACAGGAUUUUCUGUGUACAGCCCUGGCUGUACUGGAACUUGCUCUAUAGC
Alexandromys fortis (reed vole) is the source of this 2847-nucleotide long non-coding RNA. RefSeq lists it as uncharacterized. The record is from RefSeq and is a predicted model, not a curated record. NCBI's taxonomy places the organism in Eukaryota, Metazoa, Chordata, Mammalia, Rodentia, Cricetidae. The transcript has 4 exons.